CGGUAGGUACUCGAGUGGCGAACGGGUGAGUAACACGUGGGUGAUCUGCCCUGCACUCUGGGAUAAGCCUGGGAAACUGGGUCUAAUACCGGAUAGGACCGCACUUUAGUGUGUGUGGUGGAAAGUUUUUUCGGUGUAGGAUGAGCCCGCGGCCUAUCAGCUUGUUGGUGGGGUAAUGGCCUACCAAGGCUGCGACGGGUAGCCGGACUGAGAGGUUGGUCGGCCACAUUGGGACUGAGAUACGGCCCAG
This 250-nucleotide ribosomal RNA is filed under the name uncultured Actinomycetales bacterium. RNAcentral describes it as "partial 16S ribosomal RNA". It matches the Rfam family "Bacterial small subunit ribosomal RNA", at positions 81 to 334 of the family's 1533-position model. The record is from RNAcentral. Lineage: Bacteria; Bacillati; Actinomycetota; Actinomycetes; Actinomycetales.